UAUGGGAAGAAAGGCUAAGGGAGGAAGGGAGAAGAAAGGAAGCAAAACAGCACGGAGGAAUCUGAAGGAGUUUGUGAUGAAGAGGCUGCAAUUACCAGGGCCACGUCACUGGUCACAUAGGAGAGUGAUCAGCAUAUCUUGGGAGUACAGUAGA
Pongo pygmaeus (Bornean orangutan) is the source of this 154-nucleotide long non-coding RNA. RefSeq lists it as uncharacterized. Lineage: Eukaryota; Metazoa; Chordata; Mammalia; Primates; Hominidae. The record is from RefSeq and is a predicted model, not a curated record. The transcript is spliced from 3 exons.